UUAAUAUAAAUCCAAACCAAAGACCGUAGGGGACAUUGUCUUAAAUAUCCUACCGAGGUUGGAGUUAGGUUUCGCUAACCUCAAAACUCAAACCCUCGUUCUUUGGAAUGAGGGUAUAUUUUUUGA
This 126-nucleotide small RNA is filed under the name uncultured Fusobacterium sp. Its description in RNAcentral is "Ribosomal protein L10 leader". It matches the Rfam family "Ribosomal protein L10 leader". From Rfam's summary of the family: This family is a putative r-protein leader autoregulatory structure found in B. subtilis and other low-GC Gram-positive bacteria. It is located in the 5' untranslated regions of mRNAs encoding ribosomal proteins L10 and L12 (rplJ-rplL). The record is from RNAcentral. Lineage: Bacteria; Fusobacteriati; Fusobacteriota; Fusobacteriia; Fusobacteriales; Fusobacteriaceae.